Molecule: long non-coding RNA, 1202 nt
Filed under: Calidris pugnax (ruff)
Lineage: Eukaryota; Metazoa; Chordata; Aves; Charadriiformes; Scolopacidae
Description: lncRNA (ENSCPUG00000016957.1)
Source: RNAcentral
CUGGUGGCCCCAGCUCCACUUGGGACUAAUUAAAGGGCAGUAUUUACCACAGCCACUGGCCAAAGGUGGUUUUGGUCAUUUGCUCACCUUCUGCUGAGGCUUCAUCAGUACUUGCUCUGAGAUUUAGGUCUGUUGGGUCCCAUCCUGCCCUGGCAAGGGUCCUGCAGCUGUGCAGGGACAGCAGAAUCCCUGUCAGGCUCCUCUUCUCUCUUCCCUGUGGCAGAGUGAGCGGCUGACCUGUGGGUGACAGCAGUGCUGCCUCGCAGGCAGGCUGUUUCCCACACCAAGGCAGGAUCCCGUGGGAGACACUGUCGCAGCACAAGUUCAAAGUUAUUCGGCUGUUCAAGUUUAGAGACCGAGUGGGAAAAGCAACACUUAACAUCAGAGCUGUCUUCCUUGCUCGAGCCACACACUGCAGCACAAGGAUGCGUUGUGGUGGCCUUGUGCCCGGCUGUCCUCUCCACAGGCAGCAUGGGGCUGACCCACAGCAAACCCAACACUUCUUCAUCCCUUGUGAGACCUGGCAGCCCCGAGCCAAUCCCUUCUCACGUGUCAUGGCCUUGGCUCCCACAGAGCAAAGGGAAAAGGUGACAGAACUUUGCCAGGGUGUGGGAGGAAGCUGGAGCUGGGACACUUGUUCCUUUUGAGUGCCUUCCUCUCCAGUUUGGGGGAGCUCUGUGGGCAUGGCCAUGGGCAGGCCAGAUGUGGCUGAUGCUCCAGGGUGUCCCAAAGACACCCCCAAAUCUGGGUUUUCACUGCACAGCACUUACCUUCCCUUCUACCCAUGUCCCCUGGAGCCUAUGGGGAUUCAGAAUCGCUGGCCAAACCUGUUUUCCACAGGUCAUGGACAUGCUGCAGGAGAUGCUCACCACCACCUGCUCCCUGAAAACCACUGUUGAGGGCUUCCAGGAUGAGUUGCAGCUCCUGAAGGACAGAUUCCAGAAGCAGGCGGAUCUGGAGGAGCUGCAAGAGCAGUCAGUGAAGCAGGACGAGAACAGCCAUCUCCUCCAGAGCAUCCUGGAUCAACUGGUGAGUAGGGGGGGCCCUGGCAGAGGGACAGGGAGUGGGCAUCUGCAGCACUGUGGCACAGAGGCAUUCAGCCCUCAAGCUGUCCAGAGCCAGGCUUUGGCAAAUCCUUAUGGAAAAUGCACUCAAGCCUUCCAAGGGCUUCCCUGGCCAUGGUGACCUCUCUGGGUGAGCAU